CUGGAGCCCAGGCUAAUGCCCUGUACAGUCAGAAGCACAGGAGCAAUGCUGCAGCCUUGUGGUAACCAAAGUACGCCAUGCACACAACUCAAGAAGAUGCUUCCUGUGAUGCAGGAACCUUAUCAGCUCUUGACUUCUUCACUGCAAACAGUAGUCAAUACAGGUAGCUGCAGGAAGCAGGGUGAUCUUUUAUCUCCACAGAAGAAAAUUGAAAGCUCCAGCUGAGUAAAAUGAUGAGGAAAUGGAAACAGAAUUGCUGGGUGAGACAAAUCCAG
RNAcentral lists this long non-coding RNA (275 nucleotides) under Parus major (Great Tit). RNAcentral describes it as "lncRNA (ENSPMJG00000003702.1)". The record is from RNAcentral. Lineage: Eukaryota; Metazoa; Chordata; Aves; Passeriformes; Paridae.